UACAGAGGUCCCAAGCGUUGUUCGGAUUCAUUGGGCGUAAAGGGGGCGUAGGCGGCGCGGUAAGUCGGGGGUGAAAUCUCGGGGCUUAACUCCGAAACUGCAUUCGAUACUGCCGUGCUUGAGGACUGGAGAGGAGACUGGAAUUUACGGUGUAGCGGUGAAAUGCGUAGAUAUCGUAAGGAAGACCAGUGGCGAAGGCGGGUCUCUGGACAGUUCCUGACGCUGAGGCACGAAGGCCAGGGGAGCAAACGGG
This 253-nucleotide ribosomal RNA is filed under the name uncultured bacterium. RNAcentral describes it as "partial 16S ribosomal RNA". It matches the Rfam family "Bacterial small subunit ribosomal RNA", at positions 524 to 776 of the family's 1533-position model. The record is from RNAcentral.